RNAcentral lists this ribosomal RNA (508 nucleotides) under uncultured bacterium. RNAcentral describes it as "bacterial SSU rRNA". It matches the Rfam family "Bacterial small subunit ribosomal RNA", at positions 18 to 518 of the family's 1533-position model. The record is from RNAcentral.
UAUGGCUCAGGAUGAACGCUAGCGGCAGGCUUAACACAUGCAAGUCGAGGGGUAACAGGGAGUAGCAAUACUCUGCUGACGACCGGCGCACGGGUGCGUAACGCGUAUGCAACCUACCUGUAACAGGGGUAUAACGGAGGGAAACUUCCACUAAUCCCCCAUAUUGUCAGAGAUUCGCAUGAUUCUCUGACGAAAGCUUUGGUGGUUACGGAUGGGCAUGCGUGACAUUAGGUAGUUGGCGGGGCAACGGCCCACCAAGCCGACGAUGUCUAGGGGAGCUGAGAGGCUUAUCCCCCACACUGGUACUGAGACACGGACCAGACUCCUACGGGAGGCAGCAGUGAGGAAUAUUGGUCAAUGGGCGGAAGCCUGAACCAGCCAAUGCCGCGUGGGGGAUGGAGGCCCUAUGGGUUGUAAACCCCUUUUGUCCCGGAGUAAUAAGGCCCUUGCGAGGGUCGAUGAGAGUACGGGGCGAAUAAGCAUCGGCUAACUCCGUGCCAGCCGCCGC